AGCGAACGCUGGCGGCGUGCUUAACACAUGCAAGUCGCGCGCGAAAGAGGCUUUCGGGUCUUGAGUAGAGCGGCGCACGGGUGCGUAAGACGCGGGUGACCUAUCCACGAGGUGGGGAUAACCCUUCGAAAGAGGGGCUAAUACCGGAUGAGCCCACAGGCAGAGAUGCUAGGGGGCAAAGGGUGCGAUUUACUAAGCGCAUCUCUUCGUGGCGGGGCCCACGGCCUAUCAGCUAGUUGGUGUGGUAACGGCACACCAAGGCGAAGACGGGUAGCUGGUCUGAGAGGAUGGCCAGCCACACGGGGACUGAGACACGGCCCCGACUCCUACGGGAGGCAGCAGUGGGGAAGUAUUGGGCAAUGGGCGCAAGCCUGACCCAGCGACGCCGCGUGAGGGAUGACGGCCUGGUU
RNAcentral lists this ribosomal RNA (410 nucleotides) under uncultured bacterium. RNAcentral's name for it is "bacterial SSU rRNA". It matches the Rfam family "Bacterial small subunit ribosomal RNA", at positions 30 to 424 of the family's 1533-position model. The record is from RNAcentral.